AGUGAACGCUGGCGGUAGGCCUAACACAUGCAAGUCGAACGGCAGCACCGUAAGAGCUUGCUCUUACGGGUGGCGAGUGGCGGACGGGUGAGGAAUACAUCGGAAUCUACUUUUUCGUGGGGGAUAACGUAGGGAAACUUCCGCUAAUACCGCAUACGACCUACGGGUGAAAGCAGGGGAUCUUCGGACCUUGCGCGAUUGAAUGAGCCGAUGUCGGAUUAGCUAGUUGGCGGGGGAAAGGCCCACCAAGGCGACGAUCCGUAGCUGGUCUGAGAGGAUGAUCAGCCACACUGGAACUGAGACACGGUCCAGACUCCUACGGGAGGCAGCAGUGGGGAAUAUUGGACAAUGGGCGCAAGCCUGAUCCAGCCAUACCGCGUGGGUGAAGAAGGCCUUCGGGUGGUAAAGCCCUUUUGUUGGGAAAGAAAAGCAGCAGGUUAAUACCCCGCGGUUCUGACGGUACCCAAAGAAUAAGCACCGGCUAACUUCGUG
This 492-nucleotide ribosomal RNA is filed under the name uncultured bacterium. Its description in RNAcentral is "partial 16S ribosomal RNA". It matches the Rfam family "Bacterial small subunit ribosomal RNA", at positions 29 to 507 of the family's 1533-position model. The record is from RNAcentral.